RNAcentral lists this ribosomal RNA (661 nucleotides) under Klebsiella pneumoniae subsp. ozaenae. Its description in RNAcentral is "bacterial SSU rRNA". It matches the Rfam family "Bacterial small subunit ribosomal RNA", at positions 57 to 709 of the family's 1533-position model. The record is from RNAcentral. Lineage: Bacteria; Pseudomonadati; Pseudomonadota; Gammaproteobacteria; Enterobacterales; Enterobacteriaceae.
GCAAGUCGAGCGGUAGCACAGAGAGCUUGCUCUCGGGUGACGAGCGGCGGACGGGUGAGUAAUGUCUGGGAAACUGCCUGAUGGAGGGGGAUAACUACUGGAAACGGUAGCUAAUACCGCAUAAUGUCGCAAGACCAAAGUGGGGGACCUUCGGGCCUCAUGCCAUCAGAUGUGCCCAGAUGGGAUUAGCUAGUAGGUGGGGUAACGGCUCACCUAGGCGACGAUCCCUAGCUGGUCUGAGAGGAUGACCAGCCACACUGGAACUGAGACACGGUCCAGACUCCUACGGGAGGCAGCAGUGGGGAAUAUUGCACAAUGGGCGCAAGCCUGAUGCAGCCAUGCCGCGUGUGUGAAGAAGGCCUUCGGGUUGUAAAGCACUUUCAGCGGGGAGGAAGGCGUUGAGGUUAAUAACCUUGGCGAUUGACGUUACCCGCAGAAGAAGCACCGGCUAACUCCGUGCCAGCAGCCGCGGUAAUACGGAGGGUGCAAGCGUUAAUCGGAAUUACUGGGCGUAAAGCGCACGCAGGCGGUCUGUCAAGUCGGAUGUGAAAUCCCCGGGCUCAACCUGGGAACUGCAUUCGAAACUGGCAGGCUAGAGUCUUGUAGAGGGGGGUAGAAUUCCAGGUGUAGCGGUGAAAUGCGUAGAGAUCUGGAGGAAUAC